UGGUAGAGUGAAACUGCGGAUAGCUCAUUACAACGCCUCUAUUUUAUUUGAUAGUCAUCUACAGGAUAACCGUAGAAAAUCUAGAGCUAAUACUUGCAUUGAUAUCCAGUUUUGGUUAACUGGAUGCAUUUAUUAGAUAUCCGAUCGCACGUAGUCGCAAGACUUCAGGCGAAAGGUGAUUCUAGAUGACUUUGCUGAUCGUAUGGCUUUAUGCUGACGACAGAUCAAUUAAAAUCGCGCCCUAUCAAUUUGUAGUUAGGAUAUUUUCCUAACUAGAUUGCGACGGGUGACGGGGAAUCAGGGUUCGAUUCCGGAGAGGCAGCUUGAGAUAUCGCUACCACAUCUAAGGAAGGCAGCAGGCGCGCAAAUUACCCACUCCCGAACUGGGGAGGUAGUGACGAGAAUUAUCGGUCUUACUCUUUGAGCAAAAGACCGGAAUGGACGAAAUUCAGGUCCAUUCGUGAAAACUAGCGAGGGGGCAAGUCUGGUGCCAGCAGCCGCGGUAAUUCCAGCCUCGCAUGUAAAUGUAAAAUUUGUUGCAUUUAAAAAGCUCGUAGUCCGGACAGUUUCACGACAUUUUGUUCAAAGCCAGCUGCAACUCGGCUAGCCAGUUACGAAGGGUUUUGAAUUGGUCAAUUAGUCGUUGCAACUGGAUGAAUAGUCGUGAACAAUCACAAGUUUCGCUUAUACACUUAAUUGUGUGUAGGACUGAAAAUUUGUGGACGUACCUUGAACAAAUCGGUUUGUUCAAAACAGGCCAUAUUGAGCGCCUGGACAUUCGAGCAUGGAAUGAUCGAUCGAGACCUGAUCGUUUGGUCGGAAACGAGUAAGGUCCAGGUCAAAAGGGACAUUUGGGGGCAUACGAACUCGGCAGCGAGAGGUGAAAUUCUAAGACCUGCCGAGGUCGAACUAAAGCGAAAGCAUUUGCCAAGAAUGUUUUCAUUGAUCAAGAACGAAAGUUGGAGGAUCAAAAACGAUCAGAUACCGUUGUAGUUCCAACUUUAAACCUAUGCCGACUGUAGGGGCCCAGUUCGGUAUAUCCG
This 1043-nucleotide ribosomal RNA is filed under the name Buddenbrockia sp. 2-ST-2005. RNAcentral describes it as "SSU rRNA". It matches the Rfam family "Eukaryotic small subunit ribosomal RNA", at positions 74 to 1075 of the family's 1831-position model. The record is from RNAcentral. Lineage: Eukaryota; Metazoa; Cnidaria; Myxozoa; Malacovalvulida; Saccosporidae.